GAUGAACGCUGGCGGCGUGCUUAACACAUGCAAGUCGAACGGAAAGGCUCCUGUUUGCAGGGGUACUCGAGUGGCGAACGGGUGAGUAACACGUGGGUGAUCUGCCCUGCACUUCGGGAUAAGCCUGGGAAACUGGGUCUAAUACCGGAUAGGACCACAUUUUGGAUGGUGUGGUGGAAAGUUUUUCGGUGUGGGAUGAGCUCGCGGCCUAUCAGCUUGUUGGUGGGGUAAUGGCCUACCAAGGCGUCGACGGGUAGCCGGCCUGAGAGGGUGUACGGCCACAUUGGGACUGAGAUACGGCCCAGACUCCUACGGGAGGCAGCAGUGGGGAAUAUUGCACAAUGGGCGGAAGCCUGAUGCAGCGACGCCGCGUGGGGGAUGACGGCCUUCGGGUUGUAAACUCCUUUCGCUAGGGACGAAGCGCAAGUGACGGUACCUGGAGAAGAAGCACCGGCUAACUACGUG
Molecule: ribosomal RNA, 465 nt
Filed under: uncultured bacterium
Lineage: Bacteria
Description: partial 16S ribosomal RNA
Rfam family: Bacterial small subunit ribosomal RNA
Source: RNAcentral